Molecule: long non-coding RNA, 1415 nt
Organism: Sorghum bicolor (sorghum)
Lineage: Eukaryota; Viridiplantae; Streptophyta; Magnoliopsida; Poales; Poaceae
Exons: 4
Source: RefSeq, a predicted model, not a curated record
CACCCGGCUCCACCUUAUUAUGUCUAGAUAUUUUUUCCGUUCUAUUCUAAUUUCGAGAUCGUGGGGGAGGAGUCAAGCAGACGCUUCGCCGCUCCCUCCUUCGCACGGUUCAGGUCGCACUCCCUUCUUCCGCCGCAUGAGCCCUGCUUCGCCGCCGCCGAGGACCCUUCUGGUGUCGUCUCCCUCGCCCCCUCACCCUCACAGCUCGUCAUCGCAACUGGUUGCGAUCGCGGUCUUGAAGCCCUAGGUUAGGGUUGCUUGGUCGACACCGACAGUUGAUGUCGGGUUCGGCAUCGGCGAGCUCGCCGCACCAGGAGUGGCCGCAACCGCCUCUCCUGCUUGUGCUCCUCCAACGCUUCUACCAGAUCCAGGAUGUCUGGAUGUGUUCCUUGCGAUUGGACGCAGGCGGCAGCCAUAAGCUCCUCUUCAAUUGCAGCAAGAUCCAAGGCAUUCACCUUCAAAGAACUCUCCACUAGCUACUGCCUAAGACCACUCACAGAGAAGGAUGCAUGCUGACCAGCGCCUGGUGGAUAUGAUGCCCUUGGUUCAGUCUUCCAUAUCUACUUUUUUUCGUUGUGUCAAAUGAGCCUCCACAUGAGUUAGGUUACAGCUUAUUUAUGUUGUCAGGGAGCAGGUCCUUGUUGUCUAGCUUUAUAUUAUCACUUAAGUUAUGCAUUCUUGACGAGGAGUUCCGGCCAACGCAUUAGAGGUAAGCUCUCAUAUGUUCAUCGCAUCACAUGUUGAUGAAAAGUUGGGAUCUCGCAUGCAUUGGAUUUUCUAUUUACAUUAGGAGUUCACCAUUGCUUGUUUGGUCAAACUAGAAAUUUCUUUCAUAUUCAUAUUGACUAUAUCACAAAUACUUGUAUGUCAAAUAAAAAAAUUAUAUUUCAUAGUUCAAAGUGAAAUCAUGUGUGAUUCGACUAGUCUUUUGUACACAUCAAUAUUUUGCUAACAGGAAACUAUCUAUAUUUUUUAUGAUUCAUAUAGCUUGUUUCAUAUUUAAUCUCUGGUGCUAAAUUCGUGUUGUUUUCAAGUUCACGUGUGAAACCAUAAUAAUUUACCACUACACAUUAGCUUGAGCUAGUUAGAUUAGUUUAUGGUGAACAAGCACAAAAUAUUUUUCUUAACCAUAGUUUCCUGCAUGUUUUCUUAAAGCUUGAGGCUGCAACUUAAUUAAAUCUUCUUAGCUAAAGGAAUAUAACAGGGUUUUUAUUUUUGAACUCAGAAGUGCUAAAUGAUUGCUCUUAAAAUCUAAUGAGCUACACGAUGCAGCACAACUGUCAUUCCCUGAAAAUAUUUGAUAAUUUGCUUUCAUGUGAACUCUUAGCUUAUAAAUAAUGUUUGUUUGGAUGUAUUCUCAGAUGGGAAGCUAUAUUGCAAUAUAUAAUAUUCUUAACGCCGUGAUUUUAUUUUAA